GGUCGGGUGUGUAAGCGCAGCGAUGCGUUGAGCUAACCGAUACUAAUGAACCGUGAGGCUUAACCUUACAACGCCGAAGC
This 80-nucleotide ribosomal RNA is filed under the name Enterobacter hormaechei. RNAcentral describes it as "partial 23S ribosomal RNA". The record is from RNAcentral. Lineage: Bacteria; Pseudomonadati; Pseudomonadota; Gammaproteobacteria; Enterobacterales; Enterobacteriaceae.